RNAcentral lists this ribosomal RNA (523 nucleotides) under uncultured bacterium. RNAcentral's name for it is "partial 16S ribosomal RNA". It matches the Rfam family "Bacterial small subunit ribosomal RNA", at positions 28 to 523 of the family's 1533-position model. The record is from RNAcentral.
GACGAACGCUGGCGGCGUGCCUAAUACAUGCAAGUCGAACGAAGCUGUUUUAACUGGUGCUUGCACCGACUUAAACAACUGAGUGGCGAACGGGUGAGUAACACGUGGGUAACCUGCCCCAAAGCGGGGGAUAACAUUUGGAAACAGAUGCUAUACCGCAUAAUCACAGAAACCACAUGGUUUCUGUGUCAAAGAUGGUUUCGGCUAUCACUUUGGGAUGGACCCGCGGCGUAUUAGCUAGUUGGUAAGGUAAUGGCUUACCAAGGCAAUGAUACGUAGCCGAACUGAGAGGUUGAUCGGCCACAUUGGGACUGAGACACGGCCCAAACUCCUACGGGAGGCAGCAGUAGGGAAUCUUCCACAAUGGACGAAAGUCUGAUGGAGCAACGCCGCGUGAGUGAAGAAGGUUUUCGGAUCGUAAAACUCUGUUGUCAGAGAAGAACGUGUGCGAGAGUAACUGUUCGUGCAGUGACGGUAUCUGGCCAGAAAGCCACGGCUAACUACGUGCCAGCAGCCGCCGUAA